UAACGGCGAGUGAAGCGGUAACAGCUCAAAUUUGAAAUCUGGCCUCACGGUCCGAGUUGUAAUUUGUAGAGGAUGCUUCGAGCAUGGUCUGGCCUAAGUUCCUUGGAACAGGACGUCAUAGAGGGUGAGAAUCCCGUAUGCGGCCAGGUGCCUACGCUCAUGUGAAGCUCCUUCGACGAGUCGAGUUGUUUGGGAAUGCAGCUCAAAAUGGGUGGUAAAUUUCAUCUAAAGCUAAAUAUUGGCCAGAGACCGAUAGCGCACAAGUAGAGUGAUCGAAAGAUGAAAAGCACUUUGGAAAGAGAGUUAAACAGUACGUGAAAUUGUUGAAAGGGAAGCGCUUGCAACCAGACUUGCGCGCGGCCGAUCAUCCGGUGUUCUCACCGGUGCACUCGGCCGUGCUCAGGCCAGCAUCGGUUUUGGCGGCUGGAUAAAGGCCCUAGGAAUGUAGCUCCUCUCGGGGAGUGUUAUAGCCUAGGGUGCAAUGCAGCCUGCUGGGACCGAGGACCGCGCUUCGGCUAGGAUGCUGGCGUAAUGGUUGUAAGCGGCCCGUCUUGAAACACGGACCAAGGAGUCUAACAUCUAUGCGAGUGUUUGGGUGUCAAACCCAUACGCGUAAUGAAAGUGAACGGAGGUGAGAACCCUUAAGGGUGCAUCAUCGACCGGUCCUGAAGUUUACGGAAGGAUCUGAGUAAGAGCAUAGCUGUUGGGACCCGAAAGAUGGUGAACUAUGCCUGAAUAGGGUGAAGCCAGAGGAAACUCUGGUGGAGGCUCGCAGCGGUUCUGACGUGCAAAUCGAUCGUCAAAUUUGG
Molecule: ribosomal RNA, 809 nt
Filed under: Pseudogymnoascus sp.
Lineage: Eukaryota; Fungi; Ascomycota; Leotiomycetes; Thelebolales; Thelebolaceae
Description: partial large subunit ribosomal RNA
Rfam family: Eukaryotic large subunit ribosomal RNA
Source: RNAcentral